This 502-nucleotide ribosomal RNA is filed under the name uncultured bacterium. RNAcentral's name for it is "partial 16S ribosomal RNA". It matches the Rfam family "Bacterial small subunit ribosomal RNA", at positions 28 to 507 of the family's 1533-position model. The record is from RNAcentral.
GACGAACGCUGGCGGCGUGCCUAAUACAUGCAAGUCGAACGAACCGCGACUGAGUGCUUGCACUUGGUCAAGGUGAGUGGCGGACGGGUGAGUAACACGUGGGUAACCUACCUCAUAGUGGGGGAUAACAGUCGGAAACGACUGCUAAUACCGCAUAGGACAUAGGAUCACAUGAUCCAGUGAGGAAAGGUGGCGCAAGCUAUCGCUAAGAGAUGGACCCGCGGUGCAUUAGCUAGUUGGUAGGGUAAAGGCCUACCAAGGCGAUGAUGCAUAGCCGACCUGAGAGGGUGAUCGGCCACAUUGGGACUGAGACACGGCCCAAACUCCUACGGGAGGCAGCAGUAGGGAAUCUUCCGCAAUGGACGCAAGUCUGACGGAGCAACGCCGCGUGAGUGAAGAAGGUCUUCGGAUCGUAAAGCUCUGUUGUUAGAGAAGAACAGCGCAUAGAGUAACUGCUAUGCGUGUGACGGUAUCUAACCAGAAAGCCACGGCUAACUACGUG